UGAUCAUAGCUGAUCUGAGAGGAUGAUCAGCCACAUUGGGACUGAGACACGGCCCAAACUCCUACGGGAGGCAGCAGUAGGGAAUAUUGCACAAUGGAGGAAACUCUGAUGCAGCGAUGCCGCGUGAGUGAAGAAGGCCCUUGGGUUGUAAAGCUCUUUCGUCGGGGAAGAAAAUGACUGUACCCGAAUAAGAAGGUCCGGCUAACUUCGUGCCAGCAGCCGCGGUAAUACGAAGGGACCUAGCGUAGUUCGGAAUUACUGGGCUUAAAGAGUUCGUAGGUGGUUAAAAAAGUUGGUUGUGAAAUCCCGAAGCUUAACUUCGGAACUGCAAUCAAAACUUUUUAGCUAGAGUGUGAUAGAGGAAAGCAGAAUUUCUAGUGUAGAGGUGAAAUUCGUAGAUAUUAGAAAGAAUACCAAUUGCGAAGGCAGCUUUCUGGAUCAUUACUGACGCUGAGGAACGAAAGCAUGGGUAGCGAAGAGGAUUAGAUACCCUCGUAGUCCAUGCCGUAAACGAUGUGUGUUAGACGUUGGAAAUUUAUUUUCAGUGUCGCAGCGAAAGCAAUAAACACACCGCCUGGGGAGUACGACCGCAAGGUUAAAACUCAAAUGAAUUGACGGGGACCCGCACAAGUAGUGGAGCAUGUGGUUUAAUUCGAAGAUACGCGCAGAACCUUACCAACACUUGACAUGUUCGUCGCGACUCUAAGAGAUUAGAGUUUUCGGUUCGGCCGGACGAAACACAGGUGCUGCAUGGCUGUCGUCAGCUCGUGUCGUGAGAUGUUGGGUUAAGUCCCGCAACGAGCGCAACCCUCACUUUUAGUUGCCAUCAUUUAGUUGGGCACUCUGAAAGAACUGCCAGUGAUAAGCUGGAGGAAGGUGG
Molecule: ribosomal RNA, 880 nt
Filed under: marine metagenome
Description: bacterial SSU rRNA
Rfam family: Bacterial small subunit ribosomal RNA
Source: RNAcentral